GUUAAAUCAGGAAAAGCCACUAAAGACAGGUCUUUGAAAUGAAAGCUGAGCUAUUCUGCAAUAGGCUUUUGGCCGAGGACUUUUCUCUGUGCUGCUUCCAUAAGCUAAAUGCCAGAGGGAAUUUGGAUGGAUCGCGGCCCAGAAUCAACCGUUACGGCCUGGUUUCGUCGGAGGUCACGUCCCGUGCCAGAUUUGGAUGAAGAGUGGCCCAAACAGAAGGACACAGCUUCAGUCAGACUCACUUUACAAGGCUGUCAGAGACGCAAGCGUCAGCUGCGAGAAACGAGCACAUGGAGCUGGAGAAAUUUUGUGGGCUUGAUGAACAUCUUCACCGGGUGAGUUGAGUUUAUAUUGAGUCAUCAUUUUUUUAUUGUUUGAUUGAUGAGUCUUAAUAGCUACAUGCCUAAUGCAACACGAAUGUGCAUUAAAAUACAUCAACAAAAAAAGUACUUUAAAAGCUAAGCCUAUGUUUGCGUUUAAACAGAUUUUCUAUCUGUGUGUCAUUGAUUGUUUAUAAAGUUUGAGAAAAGUAAUUGUUUCAUUUUUUACAAAUGUUGUUGUUCUUAUAAAAGGAAAGCUGAGAUUUGCAUUUGAUGUUUUUGUUGAUUGAAAAAGCUCUACAGAGAAAAAUAUUUAAUUCUCAUUUGAGUAUACAUAAUUUAAAAAUCAAAAUAACUUCAGCUCAAAAUUAUCAGUCAGUGUGCACAUAAUAUUUCUGUUAGUAAAUGGACAGAUUUUCCGAAAACUUAUAUAAGAAAUGGUUGCAUUUUAUUUUCUUGCUUGUCAUUUUACAACUAAGGGAAAAGGUAAAAUCAUUAGAAAUGAUGUUGUGUGUGUUUAUGAAUUAUAUUUUGUUGAAGAAUUAUAUGACGAUUUGAAGAUUUGAGUGUCUUUACACUGGUGUGUUUGAAUUAUAUUUUCACACACCUUUAUUCAUCACAUGAGGAAUAAGAUAUUUUUUAAAUUCCCCUUUUUUUUUUCUUUAUUGGAUAUUAUCAGAAAAUAUUGUGGUAUUUGGUUCACCGAAUAUGAAAUAUUAUAUACACUGAAGAUAGUCUGUGACACUAAAGAGGCACUGAAUCAUCUGAUUUAGUUUUUUUAUAUGUAUAUGAAAUUUCUAAUCUUAGUCUGAAAAUAAUAUUUUCUGAUUUAGUGCAAAUAUAUUAGCACAGUUUGUGCAGAACACAAUUUAAAUGCUUAAAUAUGUUUUAAAAUAUCUAAUUAUCUAUAUUUUUACAAUGACAGAGAUAACAGUUAUUAAAAAAUGAUUUCUUAAAUGACUAUUUAGUGUAGUUAGUAAAGUUAAAUAUGAGUGAUCUAGUGGGAAAAAAAGCAUAAU
Molecule: long non-coding RNA, 1339 nt
Organism: Cyprinus carpio (common carp)
Lineage: Eukaryota; Metazoa; Chordata; Actinopteri; Cypriniformes; Cyprinidae
Source: Ensembl